This 449-nucleotide ribosomal RNA is filed under the name uncultured bacterium. Its description in RNAcentral is "partial 16S ribosomal RNA". It matches the Rfam family "Bacterial small subunit ribosomal RNA", at positions 29 to 523 of the family's 1533-position model. The record is from RNAcentral.
AACGAACGCUGGCGGCAUGCCUAACACAUGCAAGUCGAACGAGAUCUUCGGGUGUAGUGGCGCGCGGGUGCGUAACGCGUGGGAGUCUGCCCUUUGGUUCGGAAUAACAGUUGGAAACGACUGCUAAUACCGGAUGAUGACGAAAGUCCAAAGAUUUAUCGCCAGAGGAUGAGCCCGCGUAGGAUUAGCUAGUUGGUGUGGUAAAGGCGCACCAAGGCGACGAUCCUUAGCUGGUCUGAGAGGAUGAUCAGCCACACUGGGACUGAGACACGGCCCAGACUCCUACGGGAGGCAGCAGUGGGGAAUAUUGGACAAUGGGCGAAAGCCUGAUCCAGCAAUGCCGCGUGAGUGAUGAAGGCCUUAGGGUUGUAAAGCCCUUUCACCCGGGAUGAUAAUGACAGUACCGGGAGAAUAAGCUCCGGCUAACUCCGUGCCAGCCGCCGCAGUAA